RNAcentral lists this ribosomal RNA (238 nucleotides) under uncultured bacterium. RNAcentral describes it as "partial 16S ribosomal RNA". It matches the Rfam family "Bacterial small subunit ribosomal RNA", at positions 1251 to 1500 of the family's 1533-position model. The record is from RNAcentral.
GAAGCAGCGAUGUGAAGCAAAUACGCACCCAAAAGACCGGUCCCAGUUCGGAUAAGAGGCUGAAACUCGCCUCUUUGAAGUCGGAAUCGCUAGUAAUCGCAGAUCAGCAUGUUGCGGUGAAUACGUUUCCUGGUCUUGUACACACCGCCCGUCAAACCAUGAGAGUCGCCAACACCCGAAGUCCGCUUUGCGGCCUAAGGUGGGGGAGAUGAUUGGGGUUAAGUCGUAACAAGGUAAC